GAGUGUUGGCCCAAGAGACCUAAAGCCCGCUGCUAUACGUGCGGGCGCGUGUGUCGUGGCCCGACAGCCUGGGUGGGCGCGCCGUGUGUGCGGGCGGCCCCGACGGACACGCCAUGUGUCGGCGGUCCGGUUCCAACAAUUGGUAUAUUGUUGGGAAUAGUCCCACAUUGUCUGGUGAGAGUGUGAAAGCAUGGUUUAUAAGGUUGAGGGUGCAACCCCUAUUAGGCUAGCUUUUUGGGGGGAGUGUUGGCCCAAGAGACCUAAAGCCCGCUGCUAUACGUGCGGGCGCGUGUAUCGCGGCCCGACAACCUGGGUGGGCGCGCCGUGUUUGCGGGCGACCCCGAUGGACACGCCAUGUGUCGGCGGUCCGGUUCCAACAAUUGGUAUCAGAGUCAGGUUGGCCCAGUGCAUUCUCAGACAAAUCUUGGCUCACAAUGUGUGAGGGGGAGAUUGUUGGGAAUAGUCCCAUAUUGUCUGGUGAGAGUGUGAAAGCAUGGUUUAUAAGGUUGAGGGUGCAACCCCUAUUAGGCUAGCU
This 535-nucleotide long non-coding RNA is filed under the name Zea mays. RNAcentral's name for it is "long non-coding RNA (ZMAY_LNC000136)". The record is from RNAcentral. Lineage: Eukaryota; Viridiplantae; Streptophyta; Magnoliopsida; Poales; Poaceae.